UAGGGAAUCUUCGGCAAUGGGGGCAACCCUGACCGAGCAACGCCGCGUGAGCGAAGAAGGUUUUCGGAUCGUAAAGCUCUGUUGUAAGAGAAGAACGUGUGUGAGAGUGGAAAGUUCACACAGUGACGGUAACUUACCAGAAAGGGACGGCUAACUACGUGCCAGCAGCCGCGGUAAUACGUAGGUCCCGAGCGUUGUCCGGAUUUAUUGGGCGUAAAGCGAGCGCAGGCGGUUUAAUAAGUCUGAAGUUAAAGGCAGUGGCUUAACCAUUGUUCGCUUUGGAAACUGUUAAACUUGAGUGCAGAAGGGGAGAGUGGAAUUCCAUGUGUAGCGGUGAAAUGCGUAGAUAUAUGGAGGAACACCGGUGGCGAAAGCGGCUCUCUGGUCUGUAACUGACGCUGAGGCUCGAAAGCGUGGGGAGCAAACAGG
Molecule: ribosomal RNA, 429 nt
Filed under: bacterium
Lineage: Bacteria
Description: partial 16S ribosomal RNA
Rfam family: Bacterial small subunit ribosomal RNA
Source: RNAcentral